CCAAAAAUUUAGCCACACCCUCCCCACGUACUUCUCUCCAACAAAUUAAAAUAUUUUAACGACUUAGUAAGGACGACCAAAAAGUUACCUAGAGCAAUAAAUUUACCGCAAGGAAAAAAUGAAAUAAAAUGAAAUAAUAUUUAAGCACCUAAUAGUAGAGACUCAUACUCGUACCUUUUGCAUCAUGGUUUAACUAGUCAAAUCAAGCAAAAAGACUUGCAGUCUGACCUCCCGAAACUAAAUGAGCUACCUCAGGACAGCUUAAUGAGCAAACCCAUCUCUGUUGCAAAAGAGUGGGAAGAUCCUAAGGUAGAGAUGAUAUAUUUAACGAAUUUAGCGAUAGCUGGUUAUUCAGGAAAAGAAUUUUAGUUCAACCUAAAGUCACUAAAAAUAUUUAAAAUAAAUACAAACUUGACUUUAGAGCUACUCAAAUAAGUCACAGCCUAUUUGAGAAAGGAUACAGCCUAGACCUACGGGUUUUAACAACAUAUUAUGCAGAUAAGUGGGCCUAAAAGCAGCCACCUCUUAAAAAGCGUCACAGCUUAAUUACUAACUUGUACAAAUACAAAAACUUCUAUAGAACCCUACACCUCUACUGAAUGAUCCUAUAUCACUAUAGGACCCCUUAUGUUAAAACUAGUAACAAGAAACAACUUCUCUUAUAUGUGAACAUAAAUCAGAAUGAAAAACUCACUGAUAAUUAACAGUCUUAAUAUUUAGUAAUACCCACCAAGAGAAACCUACUUAAACAACUGUUAACCUAACACAAGAACAUACGAAGAAAGAUUAAAAGAAGAGGAAGGAACUCGGCAAAUACUGAUUCCGCCUGUUUACCAAAAACAUCGCCUCCUGUAAUUUAUAAGAGGUACAGCCUGCCCAGUGACCCAGUUUAACGGCCGCGGUACCCUAACCGUGCUAAGGUAGCAUAAUCACCUGUUUUUUAAUUGAAGACCAGUAUGAAAGGCACCACGAGAAUCACACUGUCUCCCCUUUUUAAUCAGUGAAACUAAUCUUCCCGUGAAAAAGCGGAAAUAUCUUUACAAGACGAGAAGACCCUUUGGAGCUUAAGACAAUAGUACAAUAUUGCUACCUCUAACUAAACCUAUACCCUUUAGCACUCAUUAACUAGUCUUUGGUUGGGGCAACCACGGAGCAAAAAACAACCUCCGAGAUGUGACGGAACCCCCUAAACAAAAAGCCACAACUUUAUGUAUCAAUAAAAUGACAUUAAAUGACCCAAUACUUUGAUUAUCGAACCAAGUUACCCUAGGGAUAACAGCGCAAUCCACUUCAAGAGUUCAUAUCGACAAGUGGGCUUACGACCUCGAUGUUGGAUCUAGGUACCCUAGUGGUGCAGCCGCUACUAAAGGUUCGUUUGUUCAACGAUUAAAACCUCACGUGAUCUGAGUUCAGACCGGAGCAAUCCAGGUCAGUUUCUAUCUGUAAUAAAGCUAUCUCCAGUACGAAAGGACAGUCAUAGCACGGCCUAUGAAAUAUUUAUGCCGUUUUAAUCAACUAAUGAUGUUUCUCAAUAAGUUACAUUUCUAUACCCCUCAAGACCAGAGCA
Molecule: ribosomal RNA, 1567 nt
Filed under: Eleutherodactylus inoptatus
Lineage: Eukaryota; Metazoa; Chordata; Amphibia; Anura; Eleutherodactylidae
Description: 16S ribosomal RNA
Rfam family: Bacterial large subunit ribosomal RNA
Source: RNAcentral